Non-coding RNA from Triticum aestivum (bread wheat), 134 nucleotides. NCBI's taxonomy places the organism in Eukaryota, Viridiplantae, Streptophyta, Magnoliopsida, Poales, Poaceae. The record is from Rfam.
GACGUACUGCCUCCGUUCGGAAAUACUUGUCAUCAAAAUGAAUAAAAGAGGAUGUAUCUAGAUGUAUUUUAGUUCUAGAUACAUCCUUUUUCGUCCAUUUUAAUACAAGUAUUUUCGGACGAAGGAAGUAUUUG